Molecule: non-coding RNA, 2202 nt
Organism: Poecilia reticulata (guppy)
Lineage: Eukaryota; Metazoa; Chordata; Actinopteri; Cyprinodontiformes; Poeciliidae
Source: RefSeq, a predicted model, not a curated record
CGUCCGGAACAUUUCAGGAAUCUGUCUCAGGACAAGAUAAUCCUGGGACAGCUGCCCUCUAAUUUUGAGUGCAGGGCAGGAGGAUCCGGGUGUUUCAGUCAGAGCUGAGAGAUUGGCUGAAAUUAAAGUUGGCAGAAAAAAAAACGAAAAUGCAUUUUGCAACUGCAGGGCUUAACGGUUUCUGCGGCACCGUUUUAUCGAGGGAUGUGGAGGAGGUCAGGACCCGAUCCCGAGGCGCAGAGUGAAUGGACAGUCAGUUAAUGAUUCACCCUGGCAGCAUCAUCCACUGUUGCCGUAGCAACAGCACCUGCAUUCAGAAACCUCCUCAAAGCUGCAGCCUGCAUUAUGAAAUACGCCUCACGUUGACGGAAGCAGAGGAGUGGGAAUCCUGGAGGUGGAUAGUUAUCCUGAGAAUAUAUUGUGGAAAUAAGCUGCUGUCAAAGCGAAAUCACAGCCACAAAGAGCCGGAGCAGAUGGCAGGAGCCUUCAGGCUGAGCUGUGCGUCAUUACCCUCAGCAACAAAUCUGACUUGGAAGACAUACUGGUGAAGUGGAAAGAAAAGGAUGACAUUUCUAUUAUUUUCAAAUAAAAAUUAAAACAUUUUAUAGACAUCUUUUUGUUUCGGUGGGGAACUCCAGGUGUCACAUGUGCAAGUUAAGCAUGAAUACUCACACAAUAAAGUAAAAUGAUACGAAAAUAAGAACAGCACUUUGUCCAGUAAGGUCAAAGUGCAUACAGAACAACAUCAUACUGUUUACAAGUAGAAAAGGCUGUGAAAAACAGCAGGGACGAGAUGAAAACAUGUCUGCAGUGGUUCAGUCAGGACUUUGUAAAAAUACUUUUUGCUGCUGUUGCGUCUGCAGGUCCUCUUGGUUUUGUCUCCAACAGUUUUUGCACAUUUCCAGACCGACACUUUCCCCCAGUUUAAUUUGCAAAAACAGAUCCGGGUCAGUGAGUCUGUAAACAUGAGUCUCAUUUCGAUUUAUGUCUGGACUGCCACUGGUUGUACAAGCUUCAGUCUGAGGUAUGUUGCAGAUUUUAACAGAAUUCCCUCCAGGAUUACAGGUUUAUCCCACAGCUUGAUGCGGCCACCACCAUGCAUCACAGUGGUGCUGGUGCAAUCAGUGUUCCUCCCUCCACCUGUUCGCCGUGUCUCGACUGCAAAUGGCUUCCUCUCAUCAUCGGCUUCCUUCUCGCCACUUUUGUCUGAUUCAGAAAUCUGGGGCACAUUUUCCUCACUUUUGAGGAUCCCGUUUUUAGCGCAGCAUGGUCCACAGCCUCAUGCAGAAAUGUUUAGCCGUGAUGCAACAUUUUCGUCUCUCAAAACGAUGUUUUUUUUUCUUUUUUCUUCCGCUUCAAAAAAAUAAUUGUCAGACCUAAUAUAGAGUAAUCGUCACUCCCUUAAAUUUAAAUCUAUAAAUUAGGUAAACUUGAAGGUCUCCUUUUCGAAAGCAUGCCAAAUUUAAAAGUUCAUGUUUUUACAUUAACACGCUAGGUUUACUGAUGAAUAUGUAUGAGAAAGCAACUGAUCAAGGCUGAUGAAUAAAAACGGGGCUCCGUUUCCUCUGUGGUGAAAACUUUAGACCCUACGAGCUGCAGGAGCCGAGAGCAAAUCUCAUCCAUUAGUCAUGAGGUUCAGAGUGCAGGCAUGGCUUUGUGUGGGACUGGGAGCGAUUCUGCAGCGCUGUACUACGCCACAUUCGUCCUCUCUCCUCCUCCUCUUUCUCGUCUCUGGAUCCCUCCCGGCUCAGCUUUAAUAUGUUGAGUCACAAAGUGGGAAGGAGGGACGCCUCCCUCCCUCCCUCUCUCUCUCCUCCGGCCGCCGUGCUCACGCUUUCAGCUCGCCAGUCUCUCCUUUGAAGAUGAAAGGUGCAGCCGAUCAGAUUAUUUUCCAAUGAAAUUGCAUUGAUCCCAUUUAGUUUUAUCAGGGUGGGAGUAUUUUAGUCGGUGCUGCUGCAAGUUGAGGUUUUCCUCCCUGGAGGAGUUUCCCCCCCUGCCUUUUUUUUUUUUUUUUACAAAUGACUCAAGUAAGAGUCCAGGUGUACAAAAAGAAAUGAGAAAAGAUUAGCUGUAGCGCUUCAGUUCUCAAUGUAAUACCAUACAUUUUUGUUAAAUACAUCGUUCUUUAGAAAAUGAGAACUGGAUCGCAAUGGGGGGGUUUUCUUUGUUAAAUAAAGGAAAGGAAAAAAACAUAACUGUGGU